RNAcentral lists this signal recognition particle RNA (148 nucleotides) under Gorilla gorilla gorilla (western lowland gorilla). RNAcentral describes it as "Metazoan signal recognition particle RNA". It matches the Rfam family "Metazoan signal recognition particle RNA". Rfam says of the family: The signal recognition particle (SRP) is a universally conserved ribonucleoprotein. It is involved in the co-translational targeting of proteins to membranes. The record is from Rfam by way of RNAcentral. Lineage: Eukaryota; Metazoa; Chordata; Mammalia; Primates; Hominidae.
GCUGGGUGUGGUGGUGCACACCUGUGGUCCCAGCUACGCAGGAGGCUGAGGCAGGGGGAUCACUUGAACCCGGGAGGUUGAGGCUGCAGUGAGCUGUGAUAGCACCACUGCACUCCAGCUUGGGCGACAGAGUGAGACCCUGUCUCAA